CUCUGUGAAUCUGUGAUCUCGUUCGUGUUCGUACUGUUUUUCAGUUUCGAAAAACCAGUUCAUAAAUAAAGAUUAAAAUGUUUGCAAUCCAACCACCUGCCAAACAGAAGCCUGGCUUUUUUGGUUUCUUACGGAGCUGUUACGAUGAUUCUAACACGUGGGAUAAAAUAAAGAGCCUGACAAUGUUUGUAAUUGGCAUCUACUUUUCAAAAGAUAUAUGUAGUAUUGAUUUUACUUUACCACCGUUAAGUACACGGCCAUAACUUCUUAUCACAAGGUGUCAGUUUUAAUUAAAAGCAUGAAGAGAAUGGAGCUGCUUUGUGUUACAUCUCUCAUAAUCAAAAAUCCUUGUAUAUAGAAUCUCUUAUGAUGUAUAUCAAGACUGCAAUAAAUCUAUAACAAUUUCAGUGACUUAUUUGAUAGCUUUUCAUUAAAACACUUUCUUUUAAUAUUGUUAUUUUACAAUUCUUAAUUUUAAAAAAAUUCAGUGUAUUUUAUUUUGUCAUUUUAUAUUUUAGUAAAUUUUGUUCUGCAUAGUAUAUUAAUCAGCUUUUAAGAAUGAAGUUAAUCUGCAUAGUGUAUUAAUCAGCUUUUAAGAAUAAAGUUUCUGAAUUCUC
Long non-coding RNA from Stegodyphus dumicola, 617 nucleotides. RefSeq lists it as uncharacterized. The record is from RefSeq and is a predicted model, not a curated record. Lineage: Eukaryota; Metazoa; Arthropoda; Arachnida; Araneae; Eresidae.